AUGCCUUCCACGCGUGUUCCUGGUGCCACGCCUGCGGGCAAUCUUCUUCUUUUUAGGAGCACGAGGCUCCUCUUCGUGCACUUCCUCCUCCGCCUGCGGCUCCGCCUCCGCCUCCUCCUCCGCCUCCUCCUCCGCCUCAUCAUCCAAUCUAGCCAUCCGCGAGGUCCCUACGACCACCUUUGGGUUGCCUCUGUUGUCAUAGUCGUUGGGCGUGUACCGGUGUCUGGGCUGCCUAGGCUUGAACACAUAUGCGGACCGAGCUUGAGCGUCCGCCAAAGUCAUGUCAUCAUCAAGCUCAUCGCCCUAUCACACAACGAAACAAUAUGGUGA
Molecule: ribosomal RNA, 330 nt
Filed under: Triticum aestivum (bread wheat)
Lineage: Eukaryota; Viridiplantae; Streptophyta; Magnoliopsida; Poales; Poaceae
Description: partial small subunit ribosomal RNA
Source: RNAcentral